Medicago truncatula (barrel medic) is the source of this 1058-nucleotide long non-coding RNA. RefSeq lists it as uncharacterized. The record is from RefSeq and is a predicted model, not a curated record. The transcript has 4 exons. NCBI's taxonomy places the organism in Eukaryota, Viridiplantae, Streptophyta, Magnoliopsida, Fabales, Fabaceae.
UCAAGACUAAUUUUUAUACGAGUAAAAAUGGACUCUCACUCUCGCCUCUGAGAUAUAGGGUUUUGAGCUACAAAAGUUUGGGUAGUCGGCCGUUCGUUUCUUCCUUCCACCGUCAAACCUCGCUGCCAUGAUCUCUGUUCAAUUCAACUACAGGGAAUAUCUCCAAUCUGUUGAACAUUCAUUAUCCACCGUAAUUUCCUUGAUUAAUGUGUAUCUCUCAAAAAACUUUCUCCAACCUCACCACUUGACCUCUCCAACCUCACCACUUGACCUGUUGUGCCCCUCAACCAAGUUAACAUUUCCAGAACCUUCUCCAAACUCAUAACUUGACUUGUUUCCACCAGAAUUUUGAGCAACAUUUUCCUCUUGGACAGGGUUUUCGUCCAUUGGAAUUUCUCUGCAAGAAUCAUUAUCAUUCACAUUCAAAUGUUCACCACCACCCACAGGCAGCAAAUCAGUAUCAGAAGAAUCAACGAACACCUGGACCCAGCAGAGUGAGGAACACAUUGACGUUGGAAGAGUGAAGUGAAGCUUGGACAUCUCAUGGUUACCCUAAGAAGGGUGGGAACUGUCAGCUCAGCUCCAGUCGGAUUUCAAUUGGGCGAAGAGGGUCAUUCCAAUUUUUUCCAACAAUUAUGUGGUCCAUCAUAAACCACAUUUUGUUGCAAAACUAUUUGGAUAUAACAAUGUCACAUGGAGUGCAGUAUAGAACAAAGGAUAAUCGGGGAGCAUAUUUCCAUGGAUAUCGCAAUGUGUACAAAAAGGAGCUAUAGCAAAUGUCUUGACGAUUGUGUCAUUCAAGAAUUGUAAUCUCAAUUAAGAGCAAGUGGUUCCCGAGAAACUCAAAUGUCUCUAACUCGACAUAAAGUUUAGACCAUGUUUAUCUACAAAGUUCGGAUUCGCAUCAAUUUUCAUUUUACAAUUAUAUUUACAUGUGGUUUCCUUGAUUAUGUUACCGUCUUGACAAAAGUAGAGAUCACUUAUUUUAUGUAUUUAAGAUUAACUUUUUUGUUAUGCAAUAGAACUUGGUUGAAUGUUAUUCAUUAUUACAAGAGAAA